This 117-nucleotide non-coding RNA is filed under the name Priestia megaterium. Lineage: Bacteria; Bacillati; Bacillota; Bacilli; Caryophanales; Bacillaceae. RNAcentral also lists the same sequence under 1 other name. The record is from RNAcentral.
AAAAAGUGAAUCUAGGUUCCCAUUUCUACGUUAGUAGAAAGUUUGGUCCAAGCGAUUCACAUAUUCAUUUUUGAAAAGAAGUGGAUAUGACACCGAAGGGAUAAAAGCCCAGGCGGG